This 497-nucleotide ribosomal RNA is filed under the name uncultured bacterium. Its description in RNAcentral is "partial 16S ribosomal RNA". It matches the Rfam family "Bacterial small subunit ribosomal RNA", at positions 28 to 507 of the family's 1533-position model. The record is from RNAcentral.
GAUGAACGAUGGCGGCGUGCCUAAUACAUGCAAGUCGAGCGAACGGACGAGAAGCUUGCUUCUCUGAUGUUAGCGGCGGACGGGUGAGUAACACGUGGAUAACCUACCUAUAAGACUGGGAUAACUUCGGGAAACCGGAGCUAAUACCGGAUGAUAUUUUGAACCGCAUGGUUCAAAAGUGAAAGACGGUCUUGCUGUCACUUAUAGAUGGAUCCGCGCUGCAUUAGCUAGUUGGUAAGGUAACGGCUUACCAAGGCAACGAUGCAUAGCCGACCUGAGAGGGGGAUCGGCCACACGGGAACUGAGACACGGUCCAGACUCCGACGGGAGGCAGCAGUAGGGAAUCUUCCGCAAUGGGCGAAAGCCUGACGGAGCAACGCCGCGUGAGUGAUGAAGGUCUUCGGAUCGUAAAACUCUGUUAUUAGGGAAGAACAUAUGUGUAAGUAACUGUGCACAUCUUGACGGUACCUAAUCAGAAAGCCACGGCUAACUACGUG